ACGAACGCUGGCGGCGUGCUUAACACAUGCAAGUCGAACGGAAAGGCCCUGCUUGCAGGGUACUCGAGUGGCGAACGGGUGAGUAACACGUGGGUGAUCUGCCCUGCACUUCGGGAUAAGCCUGGGAAACUGGGUCUAAUACCGGCUAGGAGCCAUUUUUAGUGUGAUGGUUGGAAAGUUUUUUCGGUGUAGGAUGAGCUCGCGGCCUAUCAGCUUGUUGGUGGGGUAAUGGCCUACCAAGGCGGCGACGGGUAGCCGGCCUGAGAGGGUGGACGGCCACAUUGGGACUGAGAUACGGCCCAGACUCCUACGGGAGGCAGCAGUGGGGAAUAUUGCACAAUGGGCGCAAGCCUGAUGCAGCGACGCCGCGUGGGGGAUGACGGCCUUCGGGUUGUAAACUCCUUUCGCUAGGGACGAAGCUUUUUGUGACGGUACCUAGAUAAGAAGCACCGGCUAACUACGUG
RNAcentral lists this ribosomal RNA (464 nucleotides) under uncultured bacterium. Its description in RNAcentral is "partial 16S ribosomal RNA". It matches the Rfam family "Bacterial small subunit ribosomal RNA", at positions 29 to 507 of the family's 1533-position model. The record is from RNAcentral.